UACUUUUGUUGAUUAAAUUAAUAAAAAAAACGGCAUUUGAACACUUGUAAUAUAUAGAAAAUAAUGGCAUAUUCGAUUUUUAGUGAUCACGUCCGGAAAGAAAUACAACGUAAUUCGGACGUUGUGUAUUUUCGGAUGUCAAUGGGAAAUGAAUGCCGUAUUUGACUUCACCUUCGCUUAUUAGUCUAAAAUAAUAGACGUGUUAUACGGGAUUCUUCCAAUCCCUAACGUCUAAACGGGAAUGUGCAAAAAACGGGGGUGUUUUAAAAAUAUUGAAAUUGUUUUAAGUGAAGUAUUUUAUGGUUGAAAUUGAUCAUAAAGAGUUAUAUUCAUAUUUUACCAUGUAAGUGAAAUGUUAUUUUGCACUAAACAAGCAUUUAAUGCAUUAAAACAAGUUGUUUACCUUUCCAAUAAAACGAAAGUUGACUGACACAAAAACAUUUAUGCGAAGGGGAACAACUCGAUACAAUCGUAAUAACUCGGCCUCCUCCGACAAAGCUUCGAGAUAGACCUCGUUAUACAAUCGUAACAACUCGGCCAUGGCCGAAAUGUUCCGAGCGAUUUAAAACUGUGCCCUGAAGCCUUGCAGGUGGCCUUCAUGUAUAUAUCGUUAUGUUUUGACAGAAUGAAAUGAAAAAAAGCCGUCAAACUCAUAAUUAUAAGUUGGAUAUUUAUUUUUUUGUGUACGGAACUAAUAUAAAAUAACAUUAUCUGAUUUCACAAGUUUCCUGUUCUGAUGUUGGAGGCGUUUCCUGCUCACUGACAUACAUUAGGUCAAAAAUGGCGGUGCCCAAUGGCCACUUUAAGACCAAAAGGUCGACCUAGGGACCAAAUCGCUGGAAUGGGAUAGUUUUGAUAGCUCAUCUGGCCAAAACUGUAGUCCAAAUACCAGUUUACGUGUGCCAAGUUCAGAGAGCUCAGUCAGUGAGGCUAUGACCAUUCCGAUCCAGGAUAAAAUGUAAGAUGACCUUUGCAACUGAUGUGGCUGAGCAGGCACAAAGCCACAGAUUCAAUCUAUCUUACAAUGUAAAAAUUGUUGUCAAUAAAAAGCCUUAAUCCUU
Molecule: long non-coding RNA, 1061 nt
Organism: Mya arenaria
Lineage: Eukaryota; Metazoa; Mollusca; Bivalvia; Myida; Myidae
Exons: 4
Source: RefSeq, a predicted model, not a curated record